Stegastes partitus (bicolor damselfish) is the source of this 584-nucleotide long non-coding RNA. RefSeq lists it as uncharacterized. The record is from RefSeq and is a predicted model, not a curated record. The transcript has 2 exons. NCBI's taxonomy places the organism in Eukaryota, Metazoa, Chordata, Actinopteri, Pomacentridae.
CCUGUUUGCCUUUGUUGCCUGUGUGGAGAGCUUGUGCUUACUGGUGGGCACUGGCCUCUUUAACUCCCUCUUUCCAGCCACACUGUACUUUAUGAAGGGCUUCACCUUCCUUGUUGCUGCUGUCAUCCUUCUCAUCCCUUUUGGGAUAAUCGGGACCCUGCAAUGUUUAGACCAGAGGCGAAACCAAGGAGACUCCACAAUGUCCUGACCUGCAGGGAGGCAGAAUCCUGUCAGAGACUUAAAUCUAACCUGGUGUGAAUGUACGAGGUGAGCUGGUCUGACACAGAGACGUCCAUCAGGUCUUUCUGUGAUGCUGGGACACACUUUUGAUCUUUAACAGUGAUGGAACAGUUGACGAGUUCACCAAAGUGAUCAAGACCGAAGGAUGAGGAAUCAACCUCCUCACUGAAAUUACUGCGAAACCUUUACCAUCAUAACAAUGAGAUGGUUGAGGUUAUGGCUUCAUCUCAUCUUUGCUGGCCAUAAAAACUGAUGUAGUGUUUAAUAAUUUUAUAAAGACGUUCAUAGAAAAUAAACAAGUUUUGGUACAUUUUUUUGAUGUUGUUAUUUAAUCUUUUUUUUUU